Molecule: ribosomal RNA, 193 nt
Filed under: Pseudomonas sp. DGGE band bd01
Lineage: Bacteria; Pseudomonadati; Pseudomonadota; Gammaproteobacteria; Pseudomonadales; Pseudomonadaceae
Description: partial 16S ribosomal RNA
Rfam family: Bacterial small subunit ribosomal RNA
Source: RNAcentral
CCUACGGAGGCAGCAGUGGGGAAUAUUGGACAAUGGGCGAAAGCCUGAUCCAGCCAUGCCGCGUGUGUGAAGAAGGUCUUCGGAUUGUAAAGCACUUUAAGUUGGGAGGAAGGGCAGUAAGUUAAUACCUUGCUGUUUUGACGUUACCAACAGAAUAAGCACCGGCUAACUCUGUGCCAGCAGCCGCGGUAAU